Molecule: ribosomal RNA, 322 nt
Filed under: Bacillus subtilis
Lineage: Bacteria; Bacillati; Bacillota; Bacilli; Caryophanales; Bacillaceae
Description: bacterial SSU rRNA
Rfam family: Bacterial small subunit ribosomal RNA
Source: RNAcentral
GCAACGCGAAGAACCUUACCAGGUCUUGACAUCCUCUGACAAUCCUAGAGAUAGGACGUCCCCUUCGGGGGCAGAGUGACAGGUGGUGCAUGGUUGUCGUCAGCUCGUGUCGUGAGAUGUUGGGUUAAGUCCCGCAACGAGCGCAACCCUUGAUUUUAGUUGCCAGCAUUCAGUUGGGCACUCUAAGGUGACUGCCGGUGACAAACCGGAGGAAGGUGGGGAUGACGUCAAAUCAUCAUGCCCCUUAUGACCUGGGCUACACACGUGCUACAAUGGACAGAACAAAGGGCAGCGAAACCGCGAGGUUAAGCCAAUCCCACAA